This 445-nucleotide ribosomal RNA is filed under the name uncultured bacterium. Its description in RNAcentral is "bacterial SSU rRNA". It matches the Rfam family "Bacterial small subunit ribosomal RNA", at positions 355 to 822 of the family's 1533-position model. The record is from RNAcentral.
UGGGGAAUCUUGCACAAUGGGCGAAAGCCUGAUGCAGCAACGCCGCGUGCGGGAAGAAGGCCCUCGGGUUGUAAACCGCUUUCAGAAGGAACGAAACUGACGGUACUUUCAGAAGAAGGUGCGGCCAGCUACGUGCCAGCAGCCGCGGUGACACGUAGGCACCAAGCGUUGUCCGGAUUUAUUGGGCGUAAAGAGCUCGUAGGCGGUUCAGUAAGUCGGGUGUGAAAACUUUGGGCUUAACCCAAAGCGUGCAUCCGAUACUGCUGUGACUUGAGUACGGUAGGGGAGCGGGGAAUUCCUAGUGUAGCGGUGAAAUGCGCAGAUAUUAGGAGGAACACCGGUGGCGAAGGCGCCGCUCUGGGCCGAAACUGACGCUGAGGAGCGAAAGCAUGGGUAGCAAACAGGAUUAGAUACCCCAGUAGUCCCUGAGCGGGCUGGCAAGGCG